AGGCAGGGACAGAGGGACAGGCAGGGACAAAGGGACAGGCAGGGACAGACAGGGAGAGAGAGGACAGAGGGACAGACAGGGACAAAGGGACAAAGGAACAGACAGGGACAGAGAGGAAGAGAGGGACAGACAGGGACAAAGGGACAAAGGAACAGACAGGGACAGAGAGACAGGAACAGAGAGAGGGACAGAGGGUCAGACAGGGACAUAGGGACAGAGAGGGACAGAGGGACAGAGAGGGAGAGAGAGGAGGGACAGAGAGAGAGCAAGAGAGAGACAGAGGGAAGGAGAGACGCAGAGACAGAGAGAAACAGUGACAGAGGGACAGAGGGACAGACAGACACAGACAGACGUUGCUAUUUUAAGGAAUUUGGUGAAAACGUGGAGAACCAGAUCCGGGGCGGGAGGUCCAUCUGAGAGACCGGCCACUGAGGCUGCCCAGGGGGCACCAGCAGGCCACGGCGGGACCCAGCGGAGCCCCAGGGAGGCCAGGCCACUCCAGGGCCUUCUGCUCCGCCCAGCGAUGGCGUCACGAUGUACAGAGUAAGUCACCCAAGGGGGGCUUCGGGAAGAGGGGCCGUGCCCAGUGGAGGACGCCCAGGCCGGCAGUGGCCCCAGCUCCAGGCACCGUGGCUGCCUGGACCAUCGUGCAGCCAUUUGGGAGACCGCUCUAGAGUGAAGCCUCCAGUGACCUCCAGGCCCCACCGCCUGGCCUCCGGCUGGCCCCGGGCCGGAAGGGCUGCGUCUGUCACGAUGUCAAAGCACGUCCCUCACCCACAGGGCCUCCGUCAUGCGCGUGAGUGAGUGUGAGCAUCACCUAGGACCUCACCCGUGUCCCACAUGAGGCUCUCUGAGAUGGACCUGGGACUGGGAUUGUCACCGGGACCCAGGGCUUAGGGCAGCCCUGCUCUGAGGGACACUCCGCUGACCUGCGUGGCAGGAGGGGUGCUGCUGGAGGCAGGGUCCAUGAGCAAGCCCACCCCAAAGGGGCACAGCUGCCCCAGAGCAAGGGCCCAGAGUCCAGGGCUGUCCCAGGAGGGGUCCUCGGGGCUGCAGGCAGCUGGCCCUGGCACGGGCCCAGGAGCCACAGGGCUCAGAGGGGAGGGCCAUAGGGCCUGUGGGUGGACAACCGUGUCACAAACCAGGCUGGGGACAGGGGCUGUGGCCAGGAGGUGGAGGGUGUCCCGUGAAGGGCUGGGCAGCAUGAGGGGUUCCCCAGAGGAGGCUGGUGCCCACAGCUGCCCUAGCCUCCUGGUGGGUGGCAGUGUCCGUGGGUCAGACAAGGGGGAGGCAGCCCUGGCCAGGCUGACCCUGGGUGGUCUCCCUUGGACCGACCAAGCCUCUGCUGGGACACUGCCCCCAGGUCUGGUCUUCCGCUGGCAGGUCCACCUCGGGGCUGCUCAGGGUGGGUCAGCUCUGGGUCCUGCCAACGUGGGUCCUGGAACCUCUGUGCCGAGGUCGGACCUCUCCUGGCACCACGGUGGGCACCUCAGGAUGGGAAGGAAGAGGGGCAGGGACCUGGGAGUUGGCUGGCACGGUGCAGCUGCAGGAGGGAGACUGUCCCCAGGGUGGGGACGGGGACAGGGGCCUGGCUGGCCCCAGCCCAGCAGGAAGGAGAAUAGCAUUUGGGGCCACUGGAGAGUCGUGAACCCCAAGCCGCUCUGUGACUGGACGUGGGGAUGUGGCUGGCCUCCUGUGGGGGCUGGGGACCCCAGGGCUCUUGGUGGCAGCCUUCAGCACCACAGGGGCCCCUCUCGACGUGGGUGUCCGGGGCACCCCGGGGGACGCAGGGCUCUGGGCCGCUCUGCCCACUGCUGAUCCAGAACCUGAGAUGGAAGGGGGCCCAGGCCCAGGACAGCAGGACCCCCAGCCUGGCCUGCACCCAGGGCCUGUCCCCUUCUUCCAGCUGCCUUCGCUUACGGACCCAGAGGUGGAGGACAACAAGGGGAUCUGGGAGACGGCCCCGUGGUCACUUCCAGGGCAGGAGCUGCAGAGUUGAGCUACACAAGUCCACCACCAGCCGCGUCCACCUCACAUCCCCCAUGGUGACCAAGACCCUUUCCCAGGGCAGAGUGACCGAGGCAGGUCCUCUCUCCAGAUGCUCAGCCCCCAGGAUGGACUCGGGCCACAAGCUGGGAGGGGUCGGCUGCGGGCACAGGGGUGUUGGGCAAAUGCAGGCACAAGAGAGUCAUGUGCCUGCAGCCCAGUGCCAGGGCCGUGCAUGGACACUGUCUUCCCGCCUGGCCCCUCUUCUGCUGCCUGGACGGGCUCCUCUCGGUCGGGGGCACGGUGCAGGCAGCCGCAGGGCCGUCUGCCCUGAGACGCUGGCCCAGCUCCGGUGGAGACUGGGUCACCCCCGCUCUGACCGAGCAGGCUCGUCCUUGGAGCGUCUCUCUCAGCUAUAAAUACACAUUUGAGUCAGAAAAUCAAACGCUUCCAACCCAGCAGCCGGCCCUUCCCAGAGGCUCCGCGCGCGGUGGGGGUCAGGCCCUCCCUGCCCAGCAAGGCCUACUUUCCAGGGCAAGCAGAGUUGAGACGGAAAACAAUGAACACAGAAAGGCCGCUGCCCCUCUGGUCCUGGGCUCCUCUGCUGGCAGAUGGUGACCGCAGGCCCGGAGAGCAGGGCUGAGGAGCCCUGUGAGGGCCUGACCCGCCCCGCCCCAGCCAGGGCGAGGGCCCCAGAGGACGGUCAGCAGAGAGGCCACCACUGAGCCAGGUGCCUCCAGGGACCUGGCCUAGAGCCGCAGAGGGUCCAGGAGUCCCCAACUCCUUCAGCUUCCACAGAGACUCUGGCCCCUGACCUCUCCAGGCCCAAGCCCCCGGCAGUGGGCACUCAGAUUUCAUGGGCUCCCAGCUUGAACGAGCGUCCUGCAAAGUAGCCAGGGCCACGAGCCUCCGGUCAGGAGCGGUGUCUGGGGCCGGGCAACCUUGCCCUGCCCUGGCUUGGAUACCUCUCCCCUCCAGGGACGCUCCACCCAGGUGGGUCCCCAGCGUGUAGGUAGAAUUUUCUAUAAAUCAGGAACGUGUCCAUUAAACGUGAGCUCACUGUGGGGCAGGCAUCGGCCGGAGGAAGGGCUGGCCACGGCCAGCGUGGCUCCUUCCACAUCCUCAGGGAUGUCCGUGCCUUCCCACCCUGAUGGUCUACCACUCACACUGACCCCUGCCUGGUCCACCCCCCAGGGUCCUCCCUGCAGGCAGGCCAGCCCCUGAGGUCCCAGGGGAGAAGCCACCAAGCCCUCCCCGCUGCCUCUGGCCUCCACAGUUGUAGCCACACCGCACCAGGCCUUCUGUCCCCAGAGAGGGGCUUCUACCCUGUGGAACAGGAAGGGGCUGCCCCUGGGGUCCCCAUACCAGAAUCAGGACCUAAGCGUCCCCCAGGUCACCUGAUUCGGAGAAGCGACACCCUGAAUGUUUUCGGAAACCCACCCGUGGGAGCUCCAAGCUGUCCGGGAGGAGGGACGUGACCCUGGGGAGGCUGGGGUUCCUGGGCUGGUUCUUGGGCAACACCUUUGUGAUCCCAAACCUCGCCGUGCGCCCUUCCGUCUCCCCGUGACAGCACAGGCUUGGCGCUAACCAAGAGCACGCUGGUUUGUACGCGGAUCACGGUUUCACACACCAAGUCGGCUCUCGGCCCACGACGAGGAUUCAAAUGGAGCAGCCGCUGCCAACCCUGCAGCUCUUGUGAUCCAGAAACACGCAUCCUUGUAAGGGAAGGCGGUCUGAAGAGGAGGCAGAGAGCGGCGGCCAAGAGCCAGAGAUGCCUGGAGCCUCCAGGAGGCAGGAGAAGCUCCCCAGAGCAUUCUGUCUGCUGCCCGAGGAGGGAAUAAAUCUUGUUCUCAGCCAGCGUCUGCAGCAGCCACAGGACACUUGCACAUGCUUCCACCCAACCCCAACAUUCACCCCUGAGCUCAAGGCCCAUAGGUGGGCCAGGCCCUGCAAGAAGAGAGGCUGGCCUGCAGAGGGACUGCUGCUGAGUGCCCAGGGAGACCAGGGCCAGCACCCAGGGCUGGGGGCCUCUGCUGGCACAUGCCCAGGGAAGAUGGCAAGGCACUGCACUGUAGUCGGAGGCACAUUCUUACUGGAAAAGGUCCCUGGGUGCUUCUAGAAGGGGAGUGUUCAUCUCUAGGCCCCACCCUCUGACCACGCCCACUGCAGGAGGAAGGAGGCACCGGAAUUCUGGUACACCUCCUGGUGGGCCCCCGGCCCCAGGAGCCCAGGGCCAUGCUGGGGACCUCAUGGCCCCCUGUACCUGGGAUCCACGUGUGCAGAGAGGGGACACUUCCAGCACCUGGCUCUGCUGCUGCAGCAAGAGCCCCGGAGCUCCCUGUCUGUCAUACUCUGCCACUGGCAGUCCCUUUGCACAUCUGACCUUCGUGUGACCUUUGGGCUUGAGCCCUCUUGCUCAGAUACCCUGCUCGCUGCCUCAGUGACCACGGAGGGAAGCUGGUGAUGCCCACAGCCCUUUCCAGAAGGCCCCUGCUCUCUCGGCAGCUGGUAGGGAACACGUCUCACCACCUGGCUCCAGAUCAUGACCUAGUGUCCCCGAGGAGGUCACGCCCCGGUGGCUCCCACCAACCCAAGCGGCAGAAGAGACUGAAGGCAGGUGCCGGGCCUCGCUGCAGACCCCUUCCCCCCAGGGCUGCCCGCUUUCCACGCCAGCCCACGUUCCCCAGUCCUGGCUGCGCUGCUCCUACAGAUGUCCCCGAGGAGGCCUCUGGCUAUACAACAAGGCCCCACUGUCACAGAGGCCUGUGCCCAGCUGGACUGCAGUGGGGACAGGACACCCUGUGGAAAGGCAGCAGCCCCCGGCCCUGAGGACGCUCCUGACCCUCCAGCCUCCCAGGAGUUCAGCUCUUGCUGCUGUCUCCAGCGUGAAUGACCAGCCAUGCCCACUCCCAUCCGGGUGCAGAAGAGCUGCUCACUGGCCAUCUGCCAGGAAGGGCCUGACGCCCAGCCCCGGCCCCGCACAGCGGCUCGCCCCCGGCACCACACAUGGCUGCUGAGCGCAGUCCCCAGGUCCCCGGGUCCCACGUGCUCUGACAUCUACCUGCUGGACAGAAGGGCCAUGGGUCCUGUGGGGCAGGCUCUGGGCUGCACCUUCCGGCUUCCUCUGGGCCCUCAGGUGAAAGGUCCCCUUGCUGAAGUGCAUGGGAAUCGCAGCCUGCCCUGCACGCUGGCAAGUUUUCCUGCGAUACGUGCGUCCGCAGGCGCGACGGCUGCCCGGCCAUCAGCAGGACACAGAGAGGGUGCACCUAGACAGCAAGCCCCACCCUAUCUCAGGCCUUCAGGGCUGCGACCACAACCCACAGAACAGCCUAGGGAGGUCGGUCGGGCCCAGGCUUUCAGAGGCUGGGCCCACGGCUGGCCACUCCACGGCUCCGGGCGGAGCAAGAGAACACCAUGGGGGGAGGGGUGGCAGAGGAAAGCCGCUCACCUCUUAGUGGCCAGGAAGGGCCCCAUGCGCCCAUCCCAGAAACCCCCGGGAGCCCUCCUCCAGCCACACCCACCUGCUGCAGUUACCACCCGGUCAGCCAUCCGGACUAGGAUGGUAGGCUCAGCUGGCCGUCCACUCACCUCUGCACAUUCCUGCCCUGACACGGGCUGGGGCACCUCUCAUCCUCGCCACCGUGAGCAGCACUCGCACCCGGCGCUUCUUGCACCAGCCAACUGCCCACAUGGCUCCACCAACCAGGGAAGACCUAUGGCAACCCCGUCCCCUUAGCUGACCUUCCAGAGGGGCUGGAGGACUGGGUGGCUGUGCUGUGGCCUGAGCGGCCAAGGGGGAGCAGUGUGGCCGCCAGUCUGCCCUGCCCGGCUCAUCCGCAAGUCUGAGCACUUGUCCCCUGCCAGGGUUCUUGGCCCCUGACCCCAUUCUCUGUUCAUUCUGGACUUGUGGCCAUCCCGAAGCCAGGUGAGGACUACACUUAUACUCGGGCAGUGGGGUGGAAACAGAAGUGGCCGGUGCCUCUCAAGGAAUGUCCCAGCAGGCAGAAGCAUCGUCCUUCUAACCUCUCUCAGGUGGGCUGUGGAUAUGAUGGCUGGCAUGUGGACAGUUCUUGGACUGCGAGCCAGCCACCAAGUGUUGAGGAUGACAUACAGCAGGACACAGAGAGGGUGCACCCCGCUCUGGGACGCCUGGAGAACGGAGGCCCUAGCCAUUCAAGCACCCCUCAUGCUUUCUCCCUGCCACUCUGUGGACUCUCCUGGGCUGUGGCCUACAAUGGUGACGGGGGACCCUGCCUCCUGUGCAGGGAGGGCUUCCGAGGGUCUGCCGUGAAGGUCCCACACAGGAGGCGCUUUCUCUGGGAAGCACUCCUCCCUCCACUCUGAGUCACUUCUUUUCUGUUAGGACCACCUUCUUGCACACUGGUAAAACGUGCCAGAGAAUAAUCUAGGCCAGGUUCUUUGAAAGAUGUUAAUCUACGGAGGCAAUUAGGUUAAUGGUUACAGGACGUGCAAGUUAUUUACUUCUUGGCUUUUGUUACAUUUCUCUAGAAUUUUGUCCACUUCAACCAAGUUUAAAUGCAUUAGCAUAAAAGUCUUAGUGCUGCCUUUGCAACCCCAGAGGUGAGGCUGUGUCAGGUCCUGCCCCUAGGAGUACACCGAGCCUUUUAUCUGCAUCAGAAUUACCAGAGGUUUGUAAUUCAGCCAUUUUUCAAGGAAUCCCCCUCUAGCGAUGUUGACCUCCCCCCCCCCCCAGGGAGAACACUACUCUACAGUUGAGGCUCUUAAGUCCCUUGAGUUCCCCAAAGUGAACCCGGCCCCUGCCCAGUUGGUCCGUGCCCAUCUCACUGUGCCCUCACCAUUUCUGCUGGCUGGCGGGUGGAGGCUGUACGCUUCGUGAUUUUGAGCUGGGGUCUUCCUGUGUCUUGGGCUUAUCUGUGGCAAAGCCUGGAAGCCUGGGUUGACUCGGUUUCCCCCACAGAGGACUUGUGCUUGCAGCAGUCUGAACCCACCUACACCAAGUCCUGGCUUUCAACCGCCAGAGAGUGUGAACUUGGGACAGCCACCUCCUGGGCCAGUGGAGGUCACAGACCUCAAGAGAGAGGCUUUCUCCUCUGCUCAAUCCCCAUUCCAAGCAAGUUCCAGGGAGUGGGCCACCAGGCACUAUUCUAGCUUGUCCUUAGGUGGAAGGUAUGUCCCCUAUGAGGGUGGGCUUCUCCCACUAGACUACCUUUCCCAGUGGGCUCUGGGCUGUCUCUCUCCCACCCGGGCCUCCAGGCCAAGCCCGAAUUCAGGUUUAAAAUCCAGCAGAUGCUAGUCCAGGAUGGCGGCUUCAGGCUGCCCUGAACCCCAUUCCUGCAAACACUCCAGGUCCGGCUUCUGAGAGCUCCUUCCCCAGCUGCCAGCUCCGUGGGGACAGCACCUUGUGCCUCCAGGGGGACUGACGUGCCCUGCCGGGAUGAGUCCCAUCUGCACGACCCCACUGGGAGCUGGUUGUGGGCGCGGGGAGCCGCCUUCUCCUCCGCUGGCUCUGCUGGCUCCGGGUCUGUCGCCCUCCCUCGGUGCCGGCGGGAAAGCGGCAGCCGCAGUGUGGGAACAGAGACCCAGAGUGCUCUGACGGUGCCACACUGCCUGAGCCCUGGUGGCGACAGCGCGUGUGGGAGCCAACAACCCGCCUCUUCCCAGCGCCGCUGCCCGCCGGGGCCCGUCUGGGAAUGCGGACAGGGCCGGGCCGGGGCGAGUGUCCACCCGGCCGGCCAGAGCCCGCCACAGGCGC
Molecule: long non-coding RNA, 7720 nt
Filed under: Marmota monax (woodchuck)
Lineage: Eukaryota; Metazoa; Chordata; Mammalia; Rodentia; Sciuridae
Source: RNAcentral